UCUAAUAUGGCAGAUUAGUGCAAUGAAUUUAAGCUUCAUAUAUAAAGAAAUAAAUCUUUUAUUAGAA
Molecule: transfer RNA, 67 nt
Filed under: Graphosoma rubrolineatum
Lineage: Eukaryota; Metazoa; Arthropoda; Insecta; Hemiptera; Pentatomidae
Description: tRNA-Leu
Source: RNAcentral